This is a long non-coding RNA of Acanthopagrus latus (yellowfin seabream), 1865 nucleotides long. RefSeq lists it as uncharacterized. The record is from RefSeq and is a predicted model, not a curated record. Lineage: Eukaryota; Metazoa; Chordata; Actinopteri; Spariformes; Sparidae. The transcript is spliced from 4 exons.
UGUAUUGCGCAAAGUUAAGAUGGUUGCAGGCGUCAUUCGGUCUUUCCUGAAUUUAAUGAAAGAAAAAGAAAAGGUGUCAUACAUCAGUGUCAUGUCACUCUUGCCCAGAGGUAAUACAGCAGACUGACUAUCCUCUCUGUGAAAAUAGAUACGUGAGCUCUUACUGUGGAGCAGCACAUCAUUCAGACCCUGGACUUACUCUCUGGUUCACUGUCCAGCUGACCACUGACAUUAAUCCUGCACCUCCGGCAGCAACGUGAAAGAUGGUCGACUAAAAGUAACAUUUAGGUGACCUCCACAUCCACGGCUCCUCGAUGGUGUUGAACUGGUUUCCUUCGCAGUUUGUCCCAGGAUGAUGUCAAAGAAAACUGCAGAUGCCUCAAUCAGCCGCGGUGCUAUCGGCUCUGAGCUGCAGCACCGUUCCUCAUCAGGAUUCAUCAGGAAGAUUUAGACAGGCACGGUAUCAAACGCAGGUGGUAAUUAUCGAACGCUUAAUCGUCGCCAUGAUUUUCACGAGCUGACACCUGGGCUCAGAGGAGAGCAGCUCUGAUCGGACCCCGCCUAAUUGCAUUGAAAAUGCAUCACUGUCACAUCACAUCCUCUAACCGUGACUGAUGAGGAGGAACAUACAAGCAAACAGCAACAAAACUGACGGAAAUACAAAGCAGCAGCACGAAAAACACUGAUUUUCUUGUUUCACGAUGUGUCUGACAUUACUGACGUGAAUUAUUAUCACUCCCAUGUCUUCACAAACAUCGCCUUCAACAAGUGAAUGUCCUUCUCGCAAAGGCAACUCCUCACUGCAUUAUGGCAACAGAAAGAAAAAGAAAAGGCGAGCCGCCCCCUUUCGCUCUGCUGAUGCAGUCCGCUAUCUGUCUCAUUGUUUUUUCUCUCUGCGUCUCACGGUUAACAGCGACGACAGAUCCUUUCUCUUUGUUUUCUCGAGGCUGCUGCGAUGAUGAUGCACACUCUGGAAUGAAGACGGAUGUGAGAGGGGAAAAAAAAAAAAACGAAACUCUUUCUCCGCCAAGUCACCUUCUCGUGUGUCAUUGUGGAGCGCAGUUAUACGUAAGACAUGUUCACUGGGUUAAACAGUUUUCUUUAUUUUCUAUGAUCGAGAUUAUUUGCGGGCUUGCGCUGAACUGUGUGUGUGUUUUUUGUGUGACUACAUCCUCCGCAGGGAAUUUAAUCUCUUGAAUGUUGGCACUUAAUCCGAUCAUUAAAGGGUUAGUUUGGAUUUUUUGAAGACGGGUUGCAUGAUGUACUUAUCUGCAGUCAGUGGAUUACCGACAGCAAAGGGCCCACCUCGAAAAAUCAUUAUCCGUUUAAGUGUGCGCUAUAUUUAGAAUAGUACAGUUUUACCAUAACUGUCAGACAUCCCUCUGUAAUUGGGAACUGAAGCCAAUAUAUCCAUAUAUGCUUUCUUCAAAUCAACCAGAUGCAAAAAAACAAAACAAAAAACCACUCUGCUUCCCUGUCGGUGCCACGCGCUGCUUCUUCACACCAGGGGUGAGCCGAUGGUCAUCUACUGACAGGUGAUACACCGACUAGGUAUAAGUACCUCAUAUGUACAACCCCACAUCGAAAGACCUGGACUGUCCCUUUAAGUGGAUCAUGUUUCGGGUCCUUGAAACAUUUGAAAAUCCCACGAACGCUCUGACACUUUGCCAACAACACUGAAAACAACUUCUAGCGAUGGUUGUUGCUGUGCAGAACAGUACCGGUGAGAGAUACAGGCGGGAUACAUUAUCAGUGCAGUCGCAUGGUGAGAAAGGUCAAAUAAAGUUUACUGAGUGUUUUUUCAUAUUCAUUUUGUUCAGCAUUUGUUUCUUUUUGCAUCAACCACUGUCGCUUUGAUCUGUUGG